AGCGAACGCUGGCGGCAUGCUUAACACAUGCAAGUCGCGCGGGUGGAUUCGGCCAUCAGCGGCGGACGGGUGAGUAUCGCGUAGGAAUGUAUCCCGAGGUGGGGGACAACCCUGGGAAACUGGGGCUAAUACCGCAUGGGGCCUUUGGGUCAAAGCCUUAGGGCGAGUUGGGGGGAGCCUGCUUCCGAUUAGGUAGUUGGUGGGGUGAAGGCGUACCAAGCCUGCGAUCGGUAGCUGGGCUGAGAGGACGAUCAGACACACUGGGAGUGAGACACGGCCCAGAAUCUUAGGGGAGGGAGGAGUGGGGAAUAUAGGAAAAUGGGCGCAAGCAUGAUCCAGCAAUGGCGGGUGGGUGAAGAAGGUCUGAGGAUUGUAAAGCCCUUUAGGAGGGGACGAUGAUGACGGUACCCGAAGAAGAAGCCCCGGCUAACUUCGUG
This 437-nucleotide ribosomal RNA is filed under the name uncultured bacterium. RNAcentral's name for it is "partial 16S ribosomal RNA". It matches the Rfam family "Bacterial small subunit ribosomal RNA", at positions 30 to 507 of the family's 1533-position model. The record is from RNAcentral.